ACAUUUUUGCAUGGUUCUUGAUUGACUUUCUGGUGCUCUGCCUGGAGGUCUUUGCUUAUCUGUGAGUUGCCUGAGUCACAUUUUUACAUGGUUCUGGUGCUCUGCCUGCAGGUCAAGAAGGAGCCAGUAUCUCCAGGAGGAGUGAGAGAGUGCUCUGCCAGUGUGAAGUGUGAAUCCUUGAGAGGCUGUGGCAAGGGUCCAUGCCUGAAUGUGUAGAACAAGAACAGCUGGAGGCUGUGGCUUUCUCCAGGAAGAGGUUUCUAAAUCUGCCUCUUAGAAGAUAUCAGAAAGUUAAAGUUUCUCUUGCUGCCGCCGUGUAAGAAGGACCUUUUGCCUCCCACCAUGAUUCUAAGUCCUCCCCAGCCACGUGGAACUGCUUUCAUUUGGUCUCUUUUCGAAUCAGAAGACCCAGAAAACUUGGAUCCACUUCUGGCUCUCAUCCCUCUGGGCAGUGUGAUUUGGAGUAAAGCAGCUACGGCUUAGAAAGGCUGAGGAACUUGCCUGAGGCUAUCCAGCUACUGAGAGAUAAACUGGGGUGUGAAUUCAGAGAGCUUGACUCCUGAGGCUCCACCUGUGCCUAUAAUUCCAGCAUGACACCUGGUAAUGGGCACUCAGUAUAUGCUUGUUGAUCUAAACUCAGUGUGUGUGUGUGUGUCUGUGUGUGUCUGUGUGUGUGUGUGUGUGUGUGUGUGUGUGUGUGGUCUUCCUCUCACAUCCAAAGCUACUAGCACUGAGGAAGUUGGGCAUGGUGUAGGAAAGAGAAAUCUUUGCUGUUAAAUCUCAUUUCCAGCAUAACUGUCAAUGGAGAGGUGGCAUGGAAGGGACAACCAGUUCGUGUACCAAAUUACUCUCAGCUUGCUUGUUGUCUUAGGCAUAUGUUCUGGGAGUGGCCAACACCUGUUUUACAUCUGUGUUAGUCUUUGCGGAAUAAAAAGCAAAUUAGGGUUUAAUGGGGACUAUUAAUCUUGUCACCUAAUUGAGUAGAUCUAAUAAAUCUUUUCAUUCAAAACCCAAUGGGAAUUUCUAGUUGGAAAUGAGUGUGGGGAAUAUUCAAUCUCAAAAAUAUUUUCAUACACAAAGAUUAUAUAUGAGUUUGUGAAAGAUGUUGAAUAUUCAAUGAAAUUUAAUGAGUAUGAAUUGAACACUUAUCCUGGGCCUAGAACUGUUGGCAGUUGCUUUUGAGAGUUACAGAGUACAUUUAUGGUAAUUACUGCACUUACGAAUUUUGCUAUGUGGUUUGGGAGUAUCUGAAGUAUCUUAUAGUAGGUCUCUAAACUGGUAAUAAUAAAAAGUUCAAAUAUAUUAUUUUGUUACACUCCACGAGGAUCAAACUUCAUCAUGACAUGAUUAUAAUUUGAAAUAUGAGUAAGAAAUACGUAGGGUCAUGAUCUCUAUAAGCCCAUUCUUUGCUUCUUAAUUAAAUUUUGCAGCUGAUAGAAACAUUGAAAGCAGAGCAUUAGCUUAUAAAUAAUUCAGAAAAUGGUUGGUAACUCCCAUAGUAUAUGUUUUAUGAGUUUUGUUUAAGAAGAGUCUAUUUCGUGUUAGGUAAAGUUGGCCAUUGUUUAGAAUAAAGACCUGCAUUACUUUCUAUUCUAAAUUAAACUGUUAAUGGGAGUGCUUGCAAAGGCCUUGGUGCUUUUUUUUCUGUUUAAUAGGAGCAACAUCACUUUGGAUCAAUUAUUUAAUUUCCUUAUGUCAGAGUUCUUUCAAUUUAAAGGAAAAUAUUUCCUUUCCUCAUUCCUUUUUCUCUGAGGAUGAACCAGACAUUGGAAGUUGUAGCCUGGGAUUGUACUGGAGCUCUCACUGUGGUUGCAUUCUUUCUUCACAUUCAGCGUCCUCCUUAAAGCACACAUUUUCACGUACAUCUAUUAAAUUACCUGGGAGAGAGUUCUAGACACUAUCAGUCAGUAAAUCCAGUUGUCUCAUUUUUCAGUUUUAGCUAUUGUUGCGGUCAUAUGCCAAGGCUUGUAUGAAUGAAGGGUCUAUAAAAAUAUCUGCUGUGGUGUGAUUUUUUUUAUCCUUGUAUGAGACCAUAGCAUGAGACAGUAGACUGGCAAAUUGGCAGGGCGAGGAGAGUGUUUGUGCUUACACGGGGCAAUGAAAAGAGUUUUGAUUCUUCUUUAGCUAAAUGUUAUAAAACUUUAAAGCUUACAUUUGAAUAAUCGUUGCAGAUGGGUUAGAUAAAAUCCAUCAACUCACAAUGUUUUUCCUGUUUCCAUUCACUAGUGAGUAACAAGGUUAAAAGAAGGAAUGUUCUAUAAAAUAAGAUAUAGAAUUUGGGUUAGGUUUACAAGUGAAGAGUUCCUCUUUGCCCUGCCCCCAAAUUAUUUUUAGGCCCCAGGCCUCUGAAGCCAAGGUAAUCUGCAGGGCAGCUUUCACAUUUUAUCACAAGUCAGUGGUCUCUCCUCUUCCUUGUCCCUCCUAUCUUGCCGGCAAAUGGCUCUGUGGGAAACCCAUUCUGCUUCCUGUUUAAACUGUAG
RNAcentral lists this long non-coding RNA (2480 nucleotides) under Homo sapiens (human). Its description in RNAcentral is "PREDICTED lncRNA (TCONS_00063944)". Lineage: Eukaryota; Metazoa; Chordata; Mammalia; Primates; Hominidae. The record is from RNAcentral.